RNA transcript from Beta vulgaris subsp. vulgaris (sugar beet), 2215 nucleotides. RefSeq lists it as uncharacterized. Lineage: Eukaryota; Viridiplantae; Streptophyta; Magnoliopsida; Caryophyllales; Amaranthaceae. The record is from RefSeq and is a predicted model, not a curated record. The transcript has 10 exons.
AAUUUAAUACUUUAGAAGUUGAAACGCAAACUCUAAAACUAUUUCCCCUGUAAUCUCUGUUCUCUCUCUCUUUUCCUCAACUAUCGAUCUGCUUCUCUUUCUCUCUCUUCCCCUCUUCACUCACUCUCGAUCUGCUUCUCCGAAUGCAUGUCGAGGUUUUGUUUGAUUCAUCGAUCCUCCACUCCUCCCAGUAGCUCUUUCAAAAUUUACCCAUGGCGGUGGUGCGAUCAUUUUCUUAGGCCACCGCAUUGGAUCUCUUUUAUAGCUCUAUAUCUUCGCGUCAUCGACCAUUGUUGCCGCCCUCGAGUAGCCGUUGCUCCUCCUCGAACGCCGGCGACGUUCUCAUCAAAUUUCCAGCUUGCAGGUUUUAAGCUGGAAGUUGUCAAAACAACUUGUGCUGGACAUGCUAAGAAACUUGCCUCUACUGUUGACUUUAGCACGUCCUGAUGGGAUUGUAUGUGUUGGAGGUGAUGGCAUUGUGAAUGAGGUUUUAAAUGGUCUGCUCAGUAGGGAUAAUCAGAAAGAGGCCAUCUGGAUGUUUUCUUUGACCCUUCCAGCAGCUUGUUUAAUGUUCGAGGCCUCUGAACCUUGACGAGGAGACAUUAAUGAAAAUAUGUAUAUCAGUUAGAUCUUGUAACAAGGGAAGAUGAUAUUACUUGGGAAUUUGCAGCUGUUCAUGUGGUUGAGGAAGGUCCCGCCUUGUCUUGCAUUUCUGUAGACCACCAGAUACUUGUCUGCCUUAUCGAAUUGAAAAUCAUCUUCGUGAUGCUUCUAUUACUUAUUAUCAAAAGGAUUCAUUUCAGCCAGAAACUCUUGCAAGCAGAGGCAGUGUGAACUAUGUCUGGGAUAACUUGACUCGACCGCACAAGCUCAUUGUCAAAAUUAAUGGUGUUCAAACGCUACGUGAAAUCAGCUUAGAUAAACUGCGCCCAUGGAAGUCCUUUUUUCGGGUGGGAAAAUAGAGAGCUCUGCCUUCUCAUUUACCAGUAGAUACCAGAGCCUCUAAUAGAAGGGGCACGAAUCUUGCUCAGAUAAAUGGUAUUGAUGUAGCAAACGUGGGGGUAUGAAGUAUAUGUUGAUGGUCCUACUCGUGUUUUACGAAUUUCUCACUCACCUGGAAGUAUCAGUCAUGCAUGAAGAUUCAGUUUAGAAUCUCUUAUCUUGCAAUUUGCUUGCUUGAACCCUGCAAGCAAGAUCAGCUGGAGGAUUUGGAUCCCUAUGAUCUGCCAACGUACACACCGUUUAUUAUUAGUAGAUUAAAUAACAUUAGUAUUGAUUCAAUCAUUAUUGAUCAGCGGAUAUACAGUCAAAUUAGGGUACAGGUGAGAUCAUAUUCUUCCUGCUCUUGAGCAUUUUUCUUUGUGUUUGCUUAGCUUUUCCCUUAACUGCUAAUUCCUAGAGACCUUUAGAUGUGAAAGAUUAACUGAGGAUAUUUUCAGCACAGUUAUGUGUUACAUCAUGAGGUAACUAUUAUCAUGUCAAAUGGAGGACUAUGGUUGAUAUACAUGGAGUAAAUAGUUAUCAUCUCCUUUAUACUUGGGCAGGAUAUUGACUGCAUGCCUUUGAAUCCACUGGAGAAUAUGCCAGAAGCAUUGAGGAGGCAGAAGAUGCUAUCUGAUUACUGGCAUGUACAAGUUCCAAAAGUCAAUGAAGCAAUUAUGCCAGUUUGAGAGGAGCAUACGAAGAUUGUCGAUCACCGUUUCCAUGUUCCUUCAUUCAGCCCAUCAAUUGCAAAUAAUAUGAAGAAAAACAAGAACCUGAGCAACAAAUGACUGCUUACUUGUGGCAGAAAAUCAAGAACCCGCUCUGAAGGGUAGUUCAGCAACAAAUGACUGCUUACAUGUGGUAGAAAAUCAGGUUCUUUAUAUAUUCCGACAAACAUCAUACUGAUAGCCUAUUAUUACACUUCCUGAUGAUGUAAGCGAGUAACUGAGGCUUCAAGGUGCAUCUAUUCCACUAGUCUAGCCUGGAAGGAGUACGGAUGGUGCAUGCAUCUAUGCGACAGUUGCAGCAAGGCAAAUUAUGGUUGGUGGCUUGGUGCACAGCAAGUACUUAGAUAAAGUAAUCAAUAGACUAAUAAAAAAAGCCACUAUAAUCCAUGUGACAACUAGAAAAAAUUCAGGAAAAGGCAUGAUGGUCGCAUAUUCCAUAGCUUACAAUAAAUAUGUUCAUGGAGAAAUAGGACCUAAGAUAUAUUUGUAAUAGUACCUCACUA